GGAUUCCCCUAGUAACUGCGAGUGAAGCGGGAAGAGCUCAAAUUUAAAAUCUGGCAGUCUCUGGCUGUCCGAGUUGUAAUUUAGAGAAGUGUUGCCCGCGCUGGACCCGUAUACAAGUCCUCUGGAAUGGGGUGUCAUAGAGGGUGAGAAUCCCGUCUUUGAUACGGACUACCAGUGCUUUGUGGUGCGCUCUCGAAGAGUCGAGUUGUUUGGGAAUGCAGCUCAAAAUGGGUGGUAAAUUCCAUCUAAAGCUAAAUACAGGCGAGAGACCGAUAGCGAACAAGUACCGUGAGGGAAAGAUGAAAAGAACUUUGGAAAGAGAGUUAAACAGUACGUGAAAUUGCUGAAAGGGAAACGCUUGAAGUCAGUCGCGUUGUUCAAGAAUCAGCCUUGCUUUCUUGCUUGGUGUACUUUUUGUUCAAUGGGUCAACAUCAGUUUUGACCACUGGAUAAGGGCCAGGGAAAUGUGGCAUCUUUAGAUGUGUUAUAGUCUCUGGUCAUAUACAGUGGUUGGGACUGAGGAACUCAGCAUGCCGAAAGGACGAGUCUUUUAAGACUACGUUACAUGCUUAGGAUGUUGGCAUAAUGGCUUUAAUCGACCCGUCUUGAAACACGGACCAAGGAGUCUAACAUGCCUGCGAGUGUUUGGGUGGAAAACCCGAGCGCGUAAUGAAAGUGAAAGUUGAGAUCUCUAUCAUGGAGAGCAUCGACGCCCAUACCUGAUGUUUACUGACGGAUAUGCGGUAGAGCAUGUAUGUUGGGACCCGAAAGAUGGUGAACUAUGCCUGAAUAGGGUGAAGCCAGAAGAAACUCUGGUGGAGGCUCGUAGCGAUUCUGACGUGCAAAUCGAUCGUCGAAUUUGGGUAUA
RNAcentral lists this ribosomal RNA (868 nucleotides) under Megacollybia marginata. RNAcentral describes it as "eukaryotic LSU rRNA". It matches the Rfam family "Eukaryotic large subunit ribosomal RNA", at positions 72 to 919 of the family's 3401-position model. Lineage: Eukaryota; Fungi; Basidiomycota; Agaricomycetes; Agaricales; Porotheleaceae. The record is from RNAcentral.